Molecule: unclassified non-coding RNA, 312 nt
Filed under: Hevea brasiliensis (rubber tree)
Lineage: Eukaryota; Viridiplantae; Streptophyta; Magnoliopsida; Malpighiales; Euphorbiaceae
Source: RNAcentral
GUUGUGUAUGAUAACAAACCGGGCUGCCUCGAGAUGACACGACUUUACAACCGCAUGUUGAGAGUUGUAGACGACAAUGCCAUCGAUGCUGUCAAGGCACAUAUGGGUGAUCUCUCUGCGGGUUUUCUUCUUUGCAAUAGUCUGUGCCAGAUUGAAGCCAUCUAUGAUGGUAUGCAGAGAAUUCUGACAGGCCCAGAGAUGAAUUCUGCUGCUGCUACACAGGCUAAAGUCGAGGAGCGGAACAGUAGUUUAACUAAAGGUGAUAUGAGGAGGGAAGUGAUGACAGAAUCUACACGGUCGCAGACUUCAAAA